Molecule: unclassified non-coding RNA, 312 nt
Filed under: Melitaea cinxia (Glanville fritillary)
Lineage: Eukaryota; Metazoa; Arthropoda; Insecta; Lepidoptera; Nymphalidae
Description: misc RNA ENSMCXG00005001677.1
Source: RNAcentral
AAAUUUCCCACGUUAUUUUCGAACAGGGGUACCUAAAAAUGAUCUCAACUGUAAGAUCAAUCACGUGGAAUUGUGGGGCUUAAUCCAAGUAUAAAUUAGGUACUUUUCAACAAAUAUCCAUUUAAACACAUCAACUUUUUACGUUGAUAAUAUUCAUAUGGAUGAUAUAGGUAUAGAUAAAAUCCUAACAGAAGUAUUUAUUUGUAACGUGUCUAAUGUAGAACAUGGUUGAAAACACUCAAUGAAAGACUUAUUUCUCACUUCAAAUCUAUAACAUAGUUAAUCAGUCACAAUACACACUGUUAACUACAU